UCGGUUAUCCCGCCGGACCUGACUGCUAUCGGAUUGAUACUAAGCCAUGCGAGUCUUUGUAGUAAUACAAGGCAGACGGCUCAGUAACACGUAGUCAACCUACCCUAUGGACGAGAAUAAUCUCGGGAAACUGAGCAUAAUUCUUGAUAGAUCAUAAUGCCUGGAAUGGUUUAUGGUUAAAAUGAUUCGUCGCCAUAGGAUGGGACUGCGGCCUAUCAGCUUGUUGGUGAGGUAAUGGCCCACCAAGGCGAUUACAGGUACGGGCUCUGAGAGGAGAAGCCCGGAGAUGGGUACUGAGACACGGACCCAGGCCCUAUGGGGCGCAGCAGGCGAGAAAACUUUGCAAUGUGCGAAAGCACGACAAGGUUAAUCCGAGUGAUUUCUGCUAAAGAAAUCUUUUGCCAGUCGUAAAACCGCUGGUGAAUAAGGGGUGGGCAAGUUCUGGUGCCAGCAGCCGCGGUAAU
Molecule: ribosomal RNA, 464 nt
Filed under: uncultured archaeon
Lineage: Archaea
Description: bacterial SSU rRNA
Rfam family: Archaeal small subunit ribosomal RNA
Source: RNAcentral